UGGAAACAGAUGCUAAUACCGAAUGAAACUUAGUGUCGCAUGAUACGAAGUUAAAAGGCGCUUUGGCGUCACCUAGAGAUGGAUCCGCGGUGCAUUAGUUAGUUGGUGGGGUAAAGGGCCUACCAAGACAAUGAUGCAUAGCCGAGUUGAGAGACUGAUCGGCCACAUUGGGACUGAGACACGGCCCAA
RNAcentral lists this ribosomal RNA (189 nucleotides) under uncultured Leuconostoc sp. RNAcentral's name for it is "partial 16S ribosomal RNA". It matches the Rfam family "Bacterial small subunit ribosomal RNA", at positions 151 to 334 of the family's 1533-position model. Lineage: Bacteria; Bacillati; Bacillota; Bacilli; Lactobacillales; Lactobacillaceae. The record is from RNAcentral.